Molecule: non-coding RNA, 46 nt
Filed under: Schistosoma mattheei
Lineage: Eukaryota; Metazoa; Platyhelminthes; Trematoda; Strigeidida; Schistosomatidae
Source: RNAcentral
GUACUGCUGAAGAGUCUCACAAAAGGAUGAAACGGUCGUCCAGUAC